GUAUAAUCUGUUAGCAGCCCCUCCCCCCCACCCCCAAAAAAGAAAAAAAAAAUGCCCCGUAUCCCAGCGAUUAGUGAGCUACGUCGAAGUCUUUCUGCAGACAACAUUCACGAUCUCAAGAUGGUGCCAUCAUCUAGUGUCGGUGAAGUGGAAGGAGAGAUGCGUCAGCGUACGCCAUCUUCGCCAUCUACCGUCUUCGGGUCUCAGAACGUUGUCAUAAAUAAUGCAGGUUCAGGAUCUCUGACAGUCAACAUCACUGGCAUGGACAACGAACCACAUGAGAGACUUGAAGCUGAUGCCAGUAUCAACAACGAUGAAUCCGAAGAACAGAAAAGACCGAACAAGACGAAGAAUAUCCUUCUUAUGGCACUAAUGGUCCUGAAUGUUGUCUACAGGAGAGACUUAUUAGGGUAUGCGAUGACAAUUGUACACCAUACAGAUGUCAUAAUACCUGUUUUUAUUUGUAUCGUGAAUGUACUAGUUGUCCUAUGUGUACUAGGAAGAUUUAGACACUAAAAACUGAAAGUGAAAGUGCGCAUUGUUAAGGGGAGUAAACCCCUUUAAAAAUCCCUGUGAACAACGAUUUAUAUUGAAGUCAUGAAGUAUCGUCCAGGGGAGUAA
Branchiostoma floridae (Florida lancelet) is the source of this 621-nucleotide long non-coding RNA. RefSeq lists it as uncharacterized. NCBI's taxonomy places the organism in Eukaryota, Metazoa, Chordata, Leptocardii, Amphioxiformes, Branchiostomatidae. The transcript has 3 exons. The record is from RefSeq and is a predicted model, not a curated record.